Long non-coding RNA from Oxyura jamaicensis (ruddy duck), 827 nucleotides. RefSeq lists it as uncharacterized. The transcript is spliced from 3 exons. The record is from RefSeq and is a predicted model, not a curated record. Lineage: Eukaryota; Metazoa; Chordata; Aves; Anseriformes; Anatidae.
AGACCGCUGGCCUGGAUCGUGACCUUGUCUCACUGUUAUGGACCUGCAUGGUGAUGGUGUGCUUACUGACCCAUUAGACCCAUAUCAGGAUGUCAGCAUCCAAGUCACCAACACAGGACGUAAGAAUUAAGACUAUAUUUUUUAAAACAACAAUAUAGUAACAAGCUGUGACAUCCUUAUGGGAUGCUUUGUAAGAAAAUAGGGUGAGAAAAAAGACAUUCCUUGAAAAGCAGAUUCUCUGAGAUGCUAAAACAGUAGCGUUUACUUCACUCCAAUUGGUAGAGUAAUUGUGCAUGCUUUGAUAUAAUGACACUGUGCGUAUCUGGGUGGCUUGAUGCGUUGUGACCCUCUUGCUUCAGCACAGGCUCACUGUAACAUCUGUGAGUAGAUAAAAAGGAGAGAGUCCUGGAGAGCAGAUGUCUUUCAUGAUCCAGUUGUGUGGCACAGUAGGCGGUGGUCUGCUGAAGAUGCCCAGCGUGGGCACUCACCUUGGCAGAAACUUGAGGUCUGGGAGUUUUUUUCAUUGGCUGCACAAAGAUUUCUUGGUGGGAGGAAGCUGUGCUUUGGCUCUGGAAGCUCCACUUCCCCAGAGGAGAUCUAGUCUAAUAUUGACAAGUAGCUGCACCUUGGUGUUAGGUUCUGAGCAGGGCAAUGUAUAUCAAAUUUCAGCCUGGGAAGCUUUACAUUUCAGUUUAGCUUCCUGAAGGUCAUCUGCCUCUACACGCUGGCCAGAGUGAUGGAGUUGAAAUAGCUCAGCAAGUCCUCCAUGGUGAAGUCCAUGGUGAUCCCUGACCCUGCAUAACAACGUUGGAUCAGAUCCUGCAGCU